RNAcentral lists this ribosomal RNA (100 nucleotides) under uncultured bacterium. RNAcentral's name for it is "partial 16S ribosomal RNA". It matches the Rfam family "Bacterial small subunit ribosomal RNA", at positions 723 to 822 of the family's 1533-position model. The record is from RNAcentral.
GGCUUUCUGGCCCAAUACUGACGCUGAGACGCGAAAGCGUGGGGAGCAAACAGGAUUAGAUACCCUGGUAGUCCACGCUGUAAACGAUGUUCACUAGGUG